UCCGAAUUGGUGUAGUGGUUAACAUUUCACGCUCUCACCAUGUGAUCCUUCAUCCGAAGAACACAGUUGGAGCACCGUGGAGCCCGGGGUUCGAUUCCCCGAUUCGGAG
Xylariaceae sp. FL1019 is the source of this 109-nucleotide non-coding RNA. The record is from the annotation of a GenBank genome assembly. Lineage: Eukaryota; Fungi; Ascomycota; Sordariomycetes; Xylariales; Xylariaceae.